GACGAACGCUGGCGGCGUGCUUAACACAUGCAAGUCGAACGGAAAGGCCCUGCUCUUGUUGGGUGCUCGAGUGGCGAACGGGUGAGUAACACGUGAGUAACCUGCCCUUGACUUUGGGAUAACUUCAGGAAACUGGGGCUAAUACCGGAUAUGAGCUCCUGCUGCAUGGUGGGGGUUGGAAAGUUUCGGCGGUUGUGGAUGGUCUCGCGGCUUAUCCGCUUGUUUGUGGGGUAGUGGCUUACCAAGGUUUUGACGGGUAGCCGGCCUGAGAGGGUGACCGGCGACAUUGGGACUGAGAGAGGGCCCAGACGCCAACGGGAGGCAGCAGGGGAGAAUAUUGCGGAAUGAGGGGAAGCCUGAGGUAGCAAUCCCGGGUGCGGGAUGACGGCCUUCGGGUUAAAAACAGAUGUGGAAGGAGAUGAGCAGUGCGUGACGGUAAUGAGUAAGAAAGCACCGGCUAACUACGUG
This 468-nucleotide ribosomal RNA is filed under the name uncultured bacterium. Its description in RNAcentral is "partial 16S ribosomal RNA". It matches the Rfam family "Bacterial small subunit ribosomal RNA", at positions 28 to 507 of the family's 1533-position model. The record is from RNAcentral.